RNAcentral lists this non-coding RNA (29 nucleotides) under Rattus norvegicus (Norway rat). Lineage: Eukaryota; Metazoa; Chordata; Mammalia; Rodentia; Muridae. The record is from RNAcentral.
UGCCAAUGUCUUGAAUCCAGGAUGGCGCC